This 500-nucleotide ribosomal RNA is filed under the name uncultured bacterium. RNAcentral's name for it is "bacterial SSU rRNA". It matches the Rfam family "Bacterial small subunit ribosomal RNA", at positions 28 to 507 of the family's 1533-position model. The record is from RNAcentral.
GACGAACGCUGGCGGCGUGCCUAAUACAUGCAAGUCGAGCGGAAUGAUGAAGAAGCUUGCUUCUUCUGAUUUUAGCGGCGGACGGGUGAGUAACACGUGGGCAACCUACCUUGUAGAUUGGGAUAACUCCGGGAAACCGGGGCUAAUACCGAAUAAUCCAUUUUGCUUCAUGGCGAGAUGUUGAAAGACGGUUUCGGCUGUCACUAUAAGAUGGGCCCGCGGCGCAUUAGCUAGUUGGUAGGGUAAUGGCCUACCAAGGCGACGAUGCGUAGCCGACCUGAGAGGGUGAUCGGCCACACUGGGACUGAGACACGGCCCAGACUCCUACGGGAGGCAGCAGUAGGGAAUCUUCCACAAUGGACGAAAGUCUGAUGGAGCAACGCCGCGUGAGUGAAGAAGGUUUUCGGAUCGUAAAACUCUGUUGUAAAGGAAGAACACGUACGAGAGUAACUGCUCGUACCUUGACGGUACCUUAUUAGAAAGCCACGGCUAACUACGUG